RNAcentral lists this ribosomal RNA (484 nucleotides) under uncultured bacterium. Its description in RNAcentral is "partial 16S ribosomal RNA". It matches the Rfam family "Bacterial small subunit ribosomal RNA", at positions 30 to 507 of the family's 1533-position model. The record is from RNAcentral.
AUUGGACGCUGGCGGCGGGCCUAACACAUGCAAGUCGAGCGGAUGAAGGGAGCUUGCUCCUGGAUUCAGCGGCGGACGGGUGAGUAAUGCCUAGGAAUCUGCCUGGUAGUGGGGGAUAACGUCCGGAAACGGGCGCUAAUACCGCAUACGUCCUGAGGGAGAAAGUGGGGGAUCUUCGGACCUCACGCGAUCAGAUGAGCCUAGGUCGGAUUAGCUAGUUGGUGGGGUAAAGGCCUACCAAGGCGACGAUCCGUAACUGGUCUGAGAGGAUGAUCAGUCACCCUGGAACUGAGACACGGUCCAGACUCCUACGGGAGGCAGCAGUGGGGAAUAUUGGACAAUGGGCGAAAGCCUGAUCCAGCCAUGCCGCGUGUGUGAAGAAGGUCUUCGGAUUGUAAAGCACUUUAAGUUGGGAGGAAGGGCAGUAAGUUAAUCCCUUGCUGUUUUGACGUUACCAACAGAAUAAGCACCGGCUAACUUCGUG